RNAcentral lists this unclassified non-coding RNA (351 nucleotides) under soil metagenome. RNAcentral's name for it is "partial contains 5.8S ribosomal RNA, internal transcribed spacer 2, and large subunit ribosomal RNA". The stretch from base 1 to 120 matches the Rfam family "5.8S ribosomal RNA", at positions 35 to 154 of the family's 154-position model. The record is from RNAcentral.
GAUGAAGAACGCAGCGAACUGCGAUAAGUAAUGUGAAUUGCAGAAUUCAGUGAAUCAUCGAGUCUUUGAACGCACAUUGCGCCCCCUGGCAUUCCGGGGGGCAUGCCUGUCCGAGCGUCAUUGCUGCCCUUCAAGCCCGGCUUGUGUGUUGGGUCGUCGUCCCCCCCGGGGGACGGGCCCGAAAGGCAGCGGCGGCACCGCGUCCGGUCCUCGAGCGUAUGGGGCUUUGUCACCCGCUCGAUUAGGGCCGGCCGGGCGCCAGCCGGCGUCUCCAACCUUCUAUUUUACCAGGUUGACCUCGGAUCAGGUAGGGAUACCCGCUGAACUUAAGCAUAUCAAUAAGCCGGAGGA